RNAcentral lists this ribosomal RNA (423 nucleotides) under uncultured eukaryote. Its description in RNAcentral is "partial 18S ribosomal RNA". It matches the Rfam family "Eukaryotic small subunit ribosomal RNA", at positions 1470 to 1796 of the family's 1831-position model. The record is from RNAcentral.
CCCUUCGAUACUCCCGGCCGCACAUGUGCGACAAUGGUGGAGUCAACGAGUCUUGCGCCUGCGCUGCUGCGCGUCCUCCCAUACUUGUUUGGCGGGAACGCGGCCAGCGCAGAUCCUGCAUUUGUUCAGCUGAACCGAUGCGGGUAAUCUGGUGCAAUUCCACCGUGCUUGGGAUAGAACUUUGGAAUUCUGGUUCUUGAACAAGGAAUCCCUAGUAGGCAUUACGUCAUUAUCGUGUGCCGAUUACGUCCCUGCUCUUUGUACACACCGCCCGUCGCUACUACCGAUGAGGGGUCAAGUGAGAUGACCCAAUCCCCUAGUCCGUUAGGGCCUUGCGCUACUCUUGUGGUCAAGUCCCGCGGGCGUCUUGACGGGGACAGGUCUUCAAACUUGCGCCUCUUAGAGGAAGUAAAAGUCGUAACA